CCGAAAAGUCAUCACAGCAAGGCAACCGUUCCCAUUGGGAACUGGAUUUCACACUCACCACCACAUACCACACCAUGAGGCAGUGAUAGGUGUCAUGAUAUGGAUGGAACCAGAAACCCUUAUGAGGGGGCAGCAACCUGCUGUGGGCCCUGCCUCUUGCCAGCCUAAGUCUGCACUCAGAGGGCCAUAUUCCUAAGAUGGCUUGUUCUUAUACAGACAGUGCCAACAUGCCACAGCACGAGGCAUGGAAGAGUCUGUGUGAUUGAUGUGGUUGGUACAUCGAUCUAUGUAUAUCCUUAAUGUGGCAGGAAACAAUGGUCCUGGUUUGAUAAUCAUGUUAUGCUGGCUUCUGUGUCCAACAGCGAGUCCUGAUAGUGUUCCAGCACUAGGAGAACACAUCUGUCACAUCUCUUCUGUCCUAUGAGCACCACUAAGGUCCCAGGACAGACAUUUUAAUGUGCUCAAUCUGAAAAGAAGAGAGAACCUUAUUCCACUCUGGGGUGAGAAGAGUACCCCAGAACCCCAUGCUUCCCAACCCAUUCACAACAACUUGGGAAAUUACAUUCCACCGGAUCCUUUGCUGGCCUCACCCAAUGGAUCUCCUCAGAAAAAAACUGAGGAGGACUUCACAGGCGACUCUGGCCAGUAUGGGAGGGAGAUCUGGCCUCUCACAUUGUGAUCCCCCUAAGACAACUGUAUUGUUCACCUGCCCCCAUCCCCAGGAAUAUAAAGCCACUGUCCAGGCUGCCAAGGACUGGCGACCCUCCUGCCCUCAGCCAACUGAUCGGAGGGGAUACAGAUGACCUAGUCUUUUUACUGAGAGUGUUUUGGAGUGCCACAAACAUGAGCUGUAUCAGAUGCCGCUCUUCUUCUGAAGCUGGUGAGCUGUGAUCUGGUCAGGAGGGAGGGAAAGGAGGCUGUCCCAGUCCAUGCCCUCUCAAGGACACUCAGGUCAGUGUGUAGCAGUCCCUGGACUGUCACCUGUGUAGCCAGGCUGCUUUGAAGGACUGUUCUGACUAGCGGCCCUCAAGUUGGACUCAUCUAACUCUCUAUGCAGCUCUGUGGGACAGGAUGGAAGUCACCAACCUCAACCAGCACAUGUCCAGACCUGUAGCUAUGACACUAUGGGAUGGAGCUACACCCCCCUACUUGAAGGUUUAGUCCCCUCACCCCUCGGGAGAUCUCAUACCCCUCACAUUUAGCCAGUUCUAGGGAGUUUGUGCGUUUUUCUUAAGACUAGAUGCUAGAGCCAGGGUGAGGGUGUAUGCCUAUAAUCCCAGGACUCUGGAGGCUUAGACAGGAGACUAGCCAUAAAUUCAGGGCCAGCUUGGGCUAUAUAAGAAGCAGUAGUCUAGCU
Peromyscus leucopus (white-footed mouse) is the source of this 1357-nucleotide long non-coding RNA. RefSeq lists it as uncharacterized. The record is from RefSeq and is a predicted model, not a curated record. The transcript has 5 exons. Lineage: Eukaryota; Metazoa; Chordata; Mammalia; Rodentia; Cricetidae.